Molecule: ribosomal RNA, 253 nt
Filed under: uncultured bacterium
Lineage: Bacteria
Description: partial 16S ribosomal RNA
Rfam family: Bacterial small subunit ribosomal RNA
Source: RNAcentral
UACGUAUGGGGCAAGCGUUAUCCGGAUUUACUGGGUGUAAAGGGAGCGUAGACGGCUGAUCAAGUCAGAAGUGAAAACCCAGGGCUCAACCUUGGGACUGCUUUUGAAACUGAGUAGCUAGAGUGCAGGAGAGGUAAGCGGAAUUCCUAGUGUAGCGGUGAAAUGCGUAGAUAUUAGGAGGAACACCAGUGGCGAAGGCGGCUUACUGGACUGUAACUGACGUUGAGGCUCGAAAGCGUGGGGAGCAAACAGG